AAUGGGAGGAUAAAAAAUCAGAUUUUUCUUCCUGAUUUUCAGCUUUUUCCUUAUGAAAAAAUUCAAAUCCAACUAAAAAUGCUAAAAAUCAAGAGGAAAAAUAUGAUUUGUCAUCCUCCCAUU
Molecule: non-coding RNA, 123 nt
Organism: Gossypium arboreum
Lineage: Eukaryota; Viridiplantae; Streptophyta; Magnoliopsida; Malvales; Malvaceae
Source: Rfam